RNAcentral lists this ribosomal RNA (440 nucleotides) under uncultured bacterium. RNAcentral's name for it is "bacterial SSU rRNA". It matches the Rfam family "Bacterial small subunit ribosomal RNA", at positions 958 to 1398 of the family's 1533-position model. The record is from RNAcentral.
AACGCGAAGAACCUUACCUGGGCUCGAAAUGUUAUGGACCGGGGUAGAAAUAUCCCUUCCCAGCAAUGGGCCGUAAUAUAGGUGCUGCAUGGCUGUCGUCAGCUCGUGUCGUGAGAUGUUGGGUUAAGUCCCGCAACGAGCGCAACCCUUAUCCCCAGUUGCCAUCAUUAAGUUGGGCACUCUGGUGAAACCGCCUCGGAUAACGGGGAGGAAGGUGGGGAUGACGUCAAGUCCUCAUGGCCUUUAUGUCCAGGGCUACACACGUGCUACAAUGGCCGGUACAAACCGUCGCAAACCCGCGAGGGGGAGCUAAUCGGAAAAAGCCGGCCUCAGUUCGGAUCGCAGUCUGCAACUCGACUGCGUGAAGCUGGAAUCGCUAGUAAUCGCGGAUCAGAAUGCCGCGGUGAAUACGUUCCCGGGCCUUGUACACACCGCUAGUC